UACGGGGGGUGCAAGCGUUAUUCGGAAUUAUUGGGCGUAAAGGGCGCGUAGGCGGUUGAAUAAGUCAGAUGUGAAAGCCCUUGGCUUAACCAAGGAAGUGCAUUUGAUACUAUUUGACUUGAGUAUGGGAGAGGGAAGUGGAAUUCCUGGUGUAGAGGUGAAAUUCGUAGAUAUCAGGAGGAACACCGGUGGCGAAAGCGACUUCCUGGACCAAUACUGACGAUGAGGCGCGAAGGCGUGGGGAGCAAACAGG
This 253-nucleotide ribosomal RNA is filed under the name uncultured bacterium. RNAcentral's name for it is "partial 16S ribosomal RNA". It matches the Rfam family "Bacterial small subunit ribosomal RNA", at positions 524 to 776 of the family's 1533-position model. The record is from RNAcentral.